GUGAAGCAUUAGUUCCUAUAUAUGCCAGAGUGUCCGAUUCAACUUUUAGGACGAGAUCUAUUAUCGAAGCUUUAAACUCAGAUAACCUUUUACCUAAUGGAUUAACAUCUCUGAAGUUUAAGGGAUUACCAGGCAUAAUAUGAUAUCGGUGCCGAGGGAAGAAGAAUGACGCUUCUAUUCCAUAGUGACAAGUGUUAACCCUAAGAGUGAU
This 211-nucleotide long non-coding RNA is filed under the name Pelobates cultripes (western spadefoot toad). The record is from RNAcentral. Lineage: Eukaryota; Metazoa; Chordata; Amphibia; Anura; Pelobatidae.